RNAcentral lists this non-coding RNA (224 nucleotides) under Salmonella enterica. RNAcentral's name for it is "partial 23S ribosomal RNA". It matches the Rfam family "Bacterial large subunit ribosomal RNA", at positions 1 to 225 of the family's 2925-position model. Lineage: Bacteria; Pseudomonadati; Pseudomonadota; Gammaproteobacteria; Enterobacterales; Enterobacteriaceae. The record is from RNAcentral.
GGUUAAGCGACUAAGCGUACACGGUGGAUGCCCUGGCAGUCAGAGGCGAUGAAGGACGUGCUAAUCUGCGAUAAGCGCCGGUAAGGUGAUAUGAACCGUUAUAACCGGCGAUUUCCGAAUGGGGAAACCCAGUGUGAUUCGUCACACUAUCAUUAACUGAAUCCAUAGGUUAAUGAGGCGAACCGGGGGAACUGAAACAUCUAAGUACCCCGAGGAAAAGAAAU